AUUUUGCAGCGUGGACGCAGGUCAAGCCACAGACCUGAGUCAGAAAGUCAGCACGGUGCAGUAUUGACACAUUAGCCCGGCUGGGAGACCCAGGUCCAGCAAUUGUAUUUACAUUCAAGCUCAGGUGUGGGAACACCAAGCCCACAAGUCCAGGUCCCUCAGACCUGGGCUUAGUAUGCAGUGUAGACAUCCUCAGUGUGGUAGGGGAACUCACUCCCUCUUCCCUCACAGCACCUGUAGGGAUGCUAGAUACCGGAAAGGGAUGGGGUGGGGUGGUGUCUUACCUACAGGAGAAGGCUGAGCAGAAUUCCUCCUGGGGACUCGGUCUGCAAUCUGGUGCCCCCAAGCCACCAUUCAGCACCCCUGAGGGCAUCAAGGAUCACAGCCUAGCUCUAUAUAGAGCUCUGUGUAGAGAUCACUUGAUCCACCAGGGAAACGAACCUACUUCUGGGAUGGAAUGUAGCCGCUGCUGGACACUGGCCAGCAAACCCCGCAUAACUCAAGCUGGGGCACUAACACUUUUUGUCUUCCUUCAAGGGCCUAGUCCAUGACACGAGUCUGCUACUGCCUGAGAGCUAACACACAUGGGGUGAAAUCCUGGUCCCGCUGAAGGCAACUGCAAAACUCUCAUCGAUAUCAGUGGAGGUGCUAGGAUUUCAGGAGAACCUGAAACCAUCACACAAUACACAUAACAGGACAACCCAGUUACAGUGCUGUACAAGAAACCAUGAAGGUCAGCCAUAGGCCUGGGGAGUGCUGUGCCUAGGGACGCGUAAGGUGUAAAUCCAGCUCUGAGGACACCAGAGUCUUGUGAGAGAGUUUAGGGUUAAGCUUGUUUAUUUUUUCCUUUACAUUCUUUUAAAAAACAAGCCACUCAUUAUGAUGGCUACUUCAUCUUCCUCAUGGCAGGGACCUGUGGGAACAAAGAGACCUGUUCCAUACAGAAAGAGCUCUCUGAUUGCAAAACUGCUCCCAGAACACAGAAGUGAACAAACAAAGAAACAUUCCGAGAACUGACCCCUACAGCCACACCAAUUUCAGCUGCAUUUACCCUCCAGCCGUCUAUUUCCAAGGCCAUAAUUAAAAGACUCAGGCCACUAAAUUGCAGGAACACACACGUCUGGGACACUGUAUCAUUUAGUGCAGAGCUUAUAGGAGUAGACGGCACCAACUGUGCUCUUCAGAUCCAAAAACACGGCCCCAAACUCAUGUCCCCCAGCUAAAUCAUAACAAAACAUUGUGUGACCAGCUGCGGAGAACAGGCAAGGUUACAUCUCACAGAACAAAGCACUUGUGUGUGUAAUUAUAGCGGUUACUCACACAUCUUGCAUCCAGCCAAAAGGUCUUAAUUAGCCAAGCAGCAGCUUUCAGGAUAACAGAACUUCUUGGCGAUCUGGUCUUAUUUCAAACAAACAUUAUUGCUGGCUGUUUGUACUGUUGGCUAAUGAAAUCAAGCAGUUAUAAUGGCUCCGCUAACGCCUUUGUCAGCCGGGUUCUUCUGUUCAUAACACCCAUAUUCUAAGCAAAGUUCAUCAUAAAGGCGUAAGGUUUGCAAUUAAUCAUUUGAUGUGCCAUUUGGACUGAAAUAUCUAUCCCGGAAGGUGCAUAUUUCUACACCAUUUGUAUUGUAUCUUUCUCAGUUUCUUGUCUCCAGGCAUGUAGAAACGGGCCUAGUAAUCACUGCUGACUACUGGCGGUGCAAAGUUGAUGUCAAGCUGUCUGCAGCGACUCAAGAGCAUGAGUACUAGCCUCCAGGUGGGCUAUUAGGGAACAGAACACAAACCCGAAAUUGGUUGUGAGUUCUAUACUUAGAUUUCACCUAGGGUGGCCAGAUGUCCCGAUUUUAUAGGGACAGUCCCAAUUUUGGGGUCUUUUUCUUAUAUGGGCGCCUAUUACCCCCCCCACCC
Mauremys mutica (yellowpond turtle) is the source of this 1907-nucleotide long non-coding RNA. RefSeq lists it as uncharacterized. The transcript has 3 exons. The record is from RefSeq and is a predicted model, not a curated record. Lineage: Eukaryota; Metazoa; Chordata; Testudines; Geoemydidae.